Molecule: ribosomal RNA, 253 nt
Filed under: uncultured bacterium
Lineage: Bacteria
Description: partial 16S ribosomal RNA
Rfam family: Bacterial small subunit ribosomal RNA
Source: RNAcentral
UACGUAGGGUGCAAGCGUUGUCCGGAAUUAUUGGGCGUAAAGAGCUCGUAGGCGGUCUGUCGCGUCUGGUGUGAAAAUCCAGGGCUUAACCCUGGACCUGCAUCGGGUACGGGCAGACUAGAGUGCGGUAGGGGAGAUCGGAAUUCCUGGUGUAGCGGUGAAAUGCGCAGAUAUCAGGAGGAACACCGGUGGCGAAGGCGGAUCUCUGGGCCGUAACUGACGCUGAGGAGCGAAAGCAUGGGGAGCAAACAGG